UUCCUCUUACACAAAGCCAAACAUUUCUUUCUCACAGAAUCAAUGUAAACAUUUCUUCUUUUUCUUCUUCCAUUUCUUUCUCUUUCCAAUUUCUAUUUCUCUGACAAUAACAGUUUCAAAGAAGAUAUAACGAAAAAACGAACUUCUUCUCCUUUUGGACCGUGUUCUCUUUGCUCUCCUGUUCAUUAUCUCCACAUGGCAGAUUGGCAGAUGUAAACAAGAUAGUUGAGGAUGCUUGGUUCGAGGUCUUAGGAGCUUAGGACUUGGAUCCUUUAUUUUGCCUUUUGUGAUUUAAAUUGUUAUUUG
Non-coding RNA from Lupinus albus (white lupine), 306 nucleotides. The record is from the annotation of a GenBank genome assembly. Lineage: Eukaryota; Viridiplantae; Streptophyta; Magnoliopsida; Fabales; Fabaceae.